GUUAAAGACUUUUGAAGCAAAAUUUUGGUGGGGUUGAACACUUUAUAAGAGGGGUUAGAGAGAUUCUAAGGGGGGGGGGGGUUAACCCAUCCUAACCCCCCCCCCAGUAAAUCCGCCCAUGAUUUAAUCCAAAAAUUUUCAUAAUGAAACCUGGUGAGUGGCGACUCAAGUGGUAGGAAAAAGCAUGAGUGUAUGUUGACAGAUGUUUUUAUAUAAUAAAUAGCAAUUAGCUAUGUUUAGCAAGUUAUUAGUGCAUUUAUUUCAAUUGACUAACUUUUUUGGUUUUUUCCAGCAUUUUUAAACAAACCAUAUGUUAUAAAUGAUAUAACUGGGUAUAUCUAAUUAAAACAACCUGUCAUGUACACUCAUACAAAUAAGACUAAGUACAUAAAUAACAACCUCGUACCCAGGGGAGAAAAGACCCUGGUAGAUGCUGGUCACAUGAUCUGCUAAAAUCUAGCAGAUUUUUAAUAAGCAAUCCAAGAUGAGGUCAAUAAAUAUUUGAUAUUUGGAUGAUUUUUAUAUGUUAAUUUAUAAUUUGCAUUUUGUAUAUGAUUGUCAUAAAGGAAUUCAAGAUAGUUAAUUAGAAAUCUGCUAGAUUUUAGCAGAUCACGUGACCAGCAUCUACCGGGGUCUUUUCUCCCCAAGAGGAAGGACUCUGGGUACGAGGUCGCAUAAAUAACUGUAAAAAUGUACUUUAGUAAAUGAAUAAUUUAUCCAUACACUUGAUCUACUUUGUGAGUAUUUUUUCCAAUUAAAAUUGAUGCAACAAUAAAACAAGAAGAUGUCUAUUUAUAUAUUUAUUAAAUUGAUCCGAGAUCCCAACAAUAACAUGCUACUUAGGGAGUGGUCAUUAUUUAUGGGGGGUGGUAAAUGGGAG
This 880-nucleotide long non-coding RNA is filed under the name Paramuricea clavata. Lineage: Eukaryota; Metazoa; Cnidaria; Anthozoa; Malacalcyonacea; Plexauridae. The record is from RNAcentral.